This 945-nucleotide unclassified non-coding RNA is filed under the name Hevea brasiliensis (rubber tree). The record is from RNAcentral. Lineage: Eukaryota; Viridiplantae; Streptophyta; Magnoliopsida; Malpighiales; Euphorbiaceae.
AAAAAAAAAAAAAAAAAAGGAGAGUUUAGUCAGUCAACCUUCUUCUUGGGCCAAUCUUUAGCAGUUUUCAUGGCUUCUUUCCUUAGGCUUUCAUUAGGAAGACGAUGGCAACGAACUACCAAAUCCAUGGAAGGGCCAACUUCUACCAGUUCAACACAAGGAACUAUUUAGCCAGACUUUUUCAGCCAUAUAGCACAGUAAGGAACUCCCGGUUUGAAGAUACAGCUGUACAUAGAUAUGCAUGAUCCAAACCAGCAAGGUUCAAGUUUUCCACAACCUGCAUAGGUCAGAUCCAUGCUUCUAUCAAUGCUCUUACAAAGUUGAGAACUGAAAGUGGCUAGCAGAGAUACACCUCUCCCCUCAGGAGGUCAAGCAUAACCUCCUUCAAAUGUUUCAACUCUUCUACACUUUCAAAUCCUUCUCCAAGAAAAGCAAUGAAAGGUUUAGAACCUACGAGUGGAGCUAAUUUCUUGUCAUAUGUAAAUGAUGACGCGGGUUUAAAAUUUUCGACCCCUACUUCCUCGAGAUCAUAUAUGUGGUGAUCAUAUGUUUGCCCACAAAAAUGCUACAGUCCGUUUUUUGAGAAAAAAAAAACUCAAGUUUCGCCGCCGCUCUCAAUUGGCGUUAUAUUAUCAUUCUUUGGGGUAUAUCUAACGGCAAUCACCCUCUUUAGAUGAUAAAUCCGCCAAAACAGCAUUCAGUACGCUGCUCGUAUUUGUACCUUGAAGUAUCAAGGUCUUCUUCCCAGUUUCGACCAGUUUUGGAUCACGUUUUUCGAGCUCGCUCUUGAUACUUCCUUUCUUGGGGUUUUUACCUUCAACAUGGUUGCUUUUCAAUUCCUGCCAUAACAAAGGAAGAAGACAUGAAAAAUUGAAAACUCAGUGAUAAAAUUGAUUCCUUUACAUUCGAUAAUCAAUGAAGAGGGAAAGAGAACUUGCAAAUUUU